This 3478-nucleotide long non-coding RNA is filed under the name Homo sapiens (human). Its description in RNAcentral is "HSALNT0003559". The record is from RNAcentral. Lineage: Eukaryota; Metazoa; Chordata; Mammalia; Primates; Hominidae.
UGGAAUCUGGGGUCAGGGUAGGAGAUGUGGCCAAAGGAUGCCUCUAAGCCAGGAAAGGGGAGCCAAAGAUAUCAGAGAAACAGCCAAAAAAAAAAAAAAGAGGAGCCUGAAGGCCGGGCAUGGUGGCUCAUGCCUGUAAUCCCAGCACUUUGGGAGGCCAAGGCAGGAGGACCAUUUGAGCCUAGGAGUUUGAGACCAGACUGGGAAAAAAGCCCAUUUCUACAAAAAAUUAAAAACUUAGGUCGGGUGUGGUGGCUCACACCUGUAAUCCCAGCACUUUGGGAGGCUGAGGCGGGCAGAUCAUGAGGUCAGGAGUUCGAGACCAGCCUGGCCAACAUGGUGAAACCCCAUCUCUACUAAAAAUACAAAAAAUUAGCCAGGCAUGGUGGCAGGUGCCUGUAAUCCCAGCUACUCGGGAGGCUGAAGUAGGAGAAUUGCUCGAACCUGGGAGGAAAAGGUUGCCAUGAGCUGCGAUUGCGCCACUGCACUCCAGCCUGGGCAACAGAGCGAGACUGCGUCUCAAACAAAACAAAACAAACAAAAAACUUAGCUAGGCAUGGUGGCAUGUGCCUGUAGUCCCAGCUACUCAGGAGGCUGAGGCAGGAGGAUCGCUUGAACCUGGGAGGCUGAGGCUGUAGUGAGCUGAGAUCAUGCCACUGCCCUCCAGCCUGGGUGACAAAGCAAGACUCUGUCUCAAAAACAAAAACCAAAAAACCAAACAAGAAGAGCUUGCUCAUGCAUUUGUUCCUUCAGUAGACACAAACCAAACUGCUUCACACCCCUGAGCUUUCUGAAUGCUGCUUUCUCUUCCUGGUUUUCUUUCCCCUUCCCAUGCAACUAACUGCCAGGUAUUGCAUUGUCAGGGGGCAUCUGGACUCCUCAGGAUGGACUGGACACCUCUGCUGUGCUCCCACAUAUCCCUUGGGCUUUCCCUUUAUCUUAGCACACGGUCCCUACAUUGUCCUUGAGUGUGUAUUCAUCCCUCUCCCCUACUAGCCUCUAAGUUCUGGAGAAGCAAAAAUCAUCCAAUUCUUCUCUGUGUCCAUAGUGCCCAGCCUAGAGCUGGGUUCACAGUAGGCACCUGAAUCCUGAAUGAAUAAAUGAGUAAAUGAAUGGCCCAUCAUUCGGAUGGACAGAAUAUCAGAAGGAUAAGGAGAAGUGGGCAGAAUAGACGUGAUUUUUCGGCCAGAUGUGGUGGCUCACGCCUAUAAUCCCAGCAUUCUGGCGGGCUGAAGCAGGCAGAACGCUUGAGCCCAGGAGUUUGAGACAAGGCUGGGCAACAUAGCAAGACUCCAUCUUGCUAUGUUGCCCAGAUUUUUCAGGGCCGGGUGUGGUGGCUCACGCCUGUAAUCCCAGCACUUUGGGAGGCCGAGGCAGGUGGAUCACGAGGUCAGGAGAUCGAGACCAUCCUGGCUAACACGGUGAAACCCUGUCUCUACUAAAAACACAAAAAAUAUGCUGGGCGUUGUGGCGGGCGCCUGUAGUUCCAGCUGCUCGGGAGGCUGAGGCAGGAGAAUGGCGUGAACCCGGAAGGUAGAGCUUGCAGUGAGCCGAGAUGAUGCCACUGCACUCCGGCCUGGGCAACAGAGUGAGACUUUGUCUCCAAAAAAAAAAAAAAAAAGAUUUUUCUCUAUACCUCCUAUGAUACCUUUUCCAAACUGCUUUUAUACAUAUAUUAACUCAUUUCUCUCUGAAUAAAGUCCCCAUUUUACAGAUGGGGACAUCAAAGCCUUGGACCAGGAAUAAGAGUGGAUGAUAGAAUAGAGAUGAGAAUCGAGGCCUGGAAGUGACUCACUUGCCUACCUGUUUUUGUGUAUGGGGUCUUACCUGGGGCUGGCGGUACCAGUAGAGCGUGUGUCCCUUGAGCACAAACCAGCGGCGGCGCCAGCGCGGGCCCAUGAAGCCGCCCGGUGCCUUUCGCAACAGGAGCCAGCCGUCACAGUCCGGCCGGCCCAGCUCACGGCAUGACACCCGCCGGCGGCUCAGCCGGGUCGCCAGGCCUGUAGCAGCACAGCACAAGCUGGGCAGUGAGGGGCUGGCAAGGUGCCCCCGCUAAACCUACUCCCUGCCUUCCACAAGCAUCCCCAAGUGAGAUCUCUGAACCCACACUCUGCUCAGAAUGCUACAUGUGUCAUCUCUGAGGUGGGAUGACCCUUCUUAUUUUAGAGAUGAGCAAACUGAAGACUAGAGGCCCAGACUGGGAGCACAGCUCUGUCUGACCCUAGAAACAGAGCUGUUUCCAGGAGAGGCUGUGUGGGAAGGAUGGGGGUGGUCUUGCCCAGCAUGUAAAGAUUUUUAACAGCUCCUCAAACAGGGGAACCCCCACCUAGUCCAGCGCACCUCAUACCUUUUGAUUUCUUCCGACCAACAGGACUCUGAAAGGACAGCAGAAGGGUGAGAGAAGGAUCUAGGUCCAGACCCACCCACCCCCUUGCUAAGCCCCUGAGCUUACCUUGUCAGGGGAUUCAGGGAGCCCUGGAGUCCCUGCUACCCCUGCUGGGAGUAUGGCUGGGGGUUCCGGGGGGAUGGGCAGGGGCUCAGGGCCAAGGGAGGCAGAGUCUGUCAGGGAGGGAGGAGAGAGAGGGAAAGUCUAUGAGCCCAGUCCCAGGCUUGGGGUCAGAACUGGGUGCCCAGAUGCCGUGUCCGGGGCAUCCAUGGAGCUUUGAGACUACCUGUCCAGGCAGGGCUGGGUCCGGGACUGGGGUUUGAAGACAGGUCAAAGGCAAAGACGUCUUCAGAUGGGGCCCUGGGGAGGGCAAGGGGGAUGAGAUGAGCCCACGGUCUCCCCACCAAGACACACCUGGACAGAGCCUGUUACCUGGGAGACAGUGGGGCCAGAGACAGUGAUGGGCUCCUCUGGUGCGGGGAGUCCAGGACCUGAGGGGGCGUCUGGGGAACAACCAGGAACAAAGCAAUGGAGACAGGGGUCUGAAAGCAGGUUGGGGGGCAACAGGGGUAGGGGAGCAGCAGGAGCAGGUACCUGUGGGGGGGUCUGAAGGGAGCUAGGGGGGCGCAGCAGGGGAAGGUGCCUGUUGGGGGGGGUCUGAAGGCAGGUGUGGGGGUGGUGGGGGCAGGUACCUGUGGAGGGGGGGGUCUGAAGGCAGGUCGGGGGGCGGCAGGGGAAGGUACCUGUGGGGGGGUCUCCGGUAUCGGGAUCUUCUUCAGCACUAAGCUGAGUCCGGCUGGCUCCCGCAGCAGUUCCCUCACCAUGUUCUUACGGGGCCAUCCCACCUGGGGGACAGAAACACUGGCUGGUAUCAACCUGGGCAGGAGGCUCUAAAGCAACCACCAACUCUCACCCUCGUGCUGGGAGCUCUCUCUCAGCCUCCCACUUCUGCCUCCCACUCAUGCAGCCUCCUGGGGGCUUCCAUGGGCCCCAUCACCUGGGCUCUGCAGAGGAUGCUCUCACCAGACUUAGCUGGCUCAUCUCCUGGAAGGCAGCUCCCACAACCCUGGUCAGAACCCUUGGUUGCCUCCC